This 8668-nucleotide long non-coding RNA is filed under the name Gossypium raimondii (Peruvian cotton). RNAcentral describes it as "long non-coding RNA (GRAI_LNC005062)". Lineage: Eukaryota; Viridiplantae; Streptophyta; Magnoliopsida; Malvales; Malvaceae. The record is from RNAcentral.
AAGAGGAGUGGUGAUCUGAACGUUAGAAGAGGGCAUGCAAAUGCUUGGAGGGGUGCCCCAAACUGGCCAGCACCUCUUCCAAAUGGUUUCAUCCCAUUCCAACCUGGGCCACCUCAUGGUGGUUUUCAAGCUGUGAUGCCACAGUUUCCUUCUCCAUCUCUGUUUGGUGUUAGGCCCUCAAUGGAAAUUAAUCACUCUGGGAUUCCAUAUCAUAUACCUGAUGCCGAAAGGUUUAACAACCAUUUGAGACCAAUUGGCUGGCAGAAUCCGAUGGAUGGCUCUGGUCCAGCCCAGUUUCCUGGUUGGGAUGGUCACAGUGUUAGUUUUAGGGAUGAAGCGCACAUGUUCGGGGGUCCCGAAUGGGACCAGAAUAGGCAUCCAGUGAAUGGUCGGGGAUGGGAUACCGGUUCAGAUGUGUGGAAGGGACAAAAUGGUGAUGUUGACUUGCCCUCAACAUCUGAGAAAGAGGACCAUCCUCUGCAGGCCCCUCUUGAUGUCUAUGAUGGACAGGAACGUCAGAGGUCUCAAUAUGAAAAUGGCGAUAAUGAUGUUCAGGUGACGGGUUUUGAAUUAAGAUCUGAUGUCUUGCCAGCAGCAAAAGAAUCUUCUAGAUGUUCACCUGAGAUUCCACACAAGGCACCUGAUUCUUCCAAAAUAUCGAGUGAAGAUGAUGAUGCUCGCUGUUGUCGACUUUAUCUUUGUAAGCUUGACAUUUCAGCAGAACUAGCUGGUUCUGCUUUGUAUGAUCAGUGUGCAAGUUUGCUGAAUGUGGAGCGAAGUAAAGAUUUGGGUAAAGAUGUAACAAUGCUUGUGAAUUUGAAGGUAGAGAACCCUUUUCUUCAAAAUUUUCUCUCAGUAGUUAAUUUAUCUGAUCUUUGACUUAUAGUACCCUUUUUCUCGUAUUUUUCAGAACGGUGGACGACCAGUACAAAAUGCUUCUAUUGAUGUUCUGAGCCCUUCACUUAUUCCUGCAACUAAUGCUUCUGUUUUUCAGGUAUUUGUGAAGCUUGUAUCUGUAUAUGCGUUUGAGUAUAUCUAAGAUCUUUUUUCUGUUACUUCUUUGGUGGGAGAAAUAGAAUUAUGAAAUGCUUAAUAAUGGUUAUAAAAGCAUGUAUAAAAAUAUAUGACCUGGGGAAUGCUGUUACUUAUUUUCCCCCAGAUCAAACAUAGUCAUUUCUACUUCAACUUUCAACUUCUGGUUCUAAACUAAUGAUGGUGUUUCAUUUAUGUUCUCUGACUUGCAGAAAGCCAUGGACCUCUAUAAGAAACAGAGGCUACAAAUUUGUGCUAUUCCAAAUGCCAAUGGUGGGAUGUUGGCAUCUACUUCAGUGCCCAAGGAGGAGCAAAGUUCUGAUCGUGUAGUCGAUGAAGCAGAGGAGCCAGUUUUGAUUUCUGAUGCUGAAAUGGCUGAUUCAGAUCAGCAGAAAGGAGACGCUGUUCUGACUGCUACUUCUCAUGAGAAUAUGGAACAGCUUGUUUCGAUUCAAAGCAGGGAGUUACCAGAUCAUCUGGAUAGCCUUUCUCCAGAAAAACCAGAACUGCCAAGUACUGAUUCUGGUCACAUGGAGCCAGGGGUGCCUAAACCAGUUUUGAAUGGUGAUAAGGCAGAAGAGACCGACACCGAGACUGAUCAGAUAAAUCCAAUGGAUGUAGUUGAAGAUUCAUUGCGGUCUCUUGAUGAUGCAGCAGAGGCAGUUGGUUUGCCUGCUGACGAGGAAAACUCAAAUGAUAUAAACAAAACCGAAGGUAAUAGUACUGUGUACUGUGCCAAGGAAAUACAUGCUUUUGAUGAUGCAAUUAGUGGUUCUUUAAAUGAUUCUCCUAAGGUAUCAGGGGCUUUGAUUCCCGGGUCAAAUGAGUCUGGGUCGGAGUUGGUAAUUUUAACUGGGAUACAUCAUUCUCCUGAAAAUACACAUUGAGACAAUUUCUAUAUCCAUGUUCUUUUUAUAAUGCGCAUUUUUAUUUUUUACUUUUGCUGUUUUUUGUUGCGUAUGGUUAUGAAGCAAAUAAAAUGAGGUACAUGCCAUCUGGUUUCCUGGAUUAGGCAUAUCCUUGCAUCUUCUUCAUUCUUGAUCUGCUACAUUCUACUUUGAUGCAUUUAACAUUUCUGGUAAAACUGCUUUUUAUAAAUUGCCAUGAUUUUGUUUUUAUGUUUUCCUAUUGAUUCUCUGCAUUUAGCUGGACGUAUAAUUGUAUACAUAUUUCAUGUCGGAUCGAGUUUGAAUUGUCAUGAAAUGGGUUAAUUAUGAAUUAUGAUACUUGUAUAUGGAUCAGUGUUUAUAAAUUACCCCAAAUUUCACCCCAAAUUUCUAAACUUCUUUACUUUCUCUCAAAACUUUUACUCCCCUCCCAUUUCAUCCUUUUCUACCCCAAACCCACCUCCCCACACAAUUUUUUUUUAAUACUUUCCCUAAAAUUUUACUUUCCCAUUUGCUUUCUAACAAAAUUUUACUACCUCCACCCCUAAAAUUUUUUAUUUUCCUCCAAUACUUUUACUUCCAUCCCACCCCUUUCUACCCCAAACCUAUCCCCCGAUUUUUUUUAAAAAUAAUAUUAUUUAUAUUAUUAAAUUAAAUUCUACAAUUAGUAUUAUUUUUAUUAUUGAAUUGUUUAAUCAUAUUGAACAUUUAUAAUAUUUUGUUAAAAUUGAAUUAUUGUUGAUGUUAUAAAAUAUUCGUGUUAAAAUUUUACAUUGGUAUCAAUUUUACAUUUUAUCUUUAAGAUAACUUUUAUUAAAAAAAUCACAUUUUUUACAUUUAGUAUAUAUUUUAAUUUCAAAAUACAUAGUGACAAGAAUUAGAAAAUAAUUGAAGCAAUUAAGCAAAUUACAUAAAAAAUUAAUAAAUAAAUUAUGAGGGGAUGAAAGUUAAUAAUAAAUUUGAUUAGGUUAGGUGAUAGUGACUACAAGGAUCCGAAAUCAUUUUUUUAAUUUAACUCGAACAAAUAUAUUCGAUUCGAAUUUCAUCUCACUCGUCUCAAUUUGAGAAAAUUUAAAAUUGAGUUAGGAUGAAAAAAUAAGAUUCAUAAACUCAAUUAACUUGAAAUUUUUUCAUUCGAUUCAAUUGAAUGUUUAUUUUUGUUUUUUUAAUUUUAAAAUACAGUUUCAAGUGUUAAUGUUGUUAAACUCUUUUGUUAAAUUCAAGUUAAUUUUGUUAUUAUUUUAUUUAUAUGACUAUUAUUUUUAAUAAUCUCUUUUAUGCUUGUUUCUUCCACAAACAAAAAAAAUAAUAUAAAAGCUAUAGUUACAUAAAAAUUGAAAGCAUAUUAUAUAAUAAAAGAAGAGUGAAAAUGAAACAUUUAAUAAUAGCUGAAAAGCUCAUUUGUACGUGGAUUUAUUUUUCAUACCGAGAUAUGGUUCUUUUAUUUCAUGCGAGAAAAAGCAGAGCAGUCAUCUUAUCCUACAACUCUCGGGUCUUCUUAUUAUAUGAGAAAACAAGCAUUUUAAACAACUUUUUAUCUACAUCAUGAGAAAAUCUAUUUAUUAACAUUAAAUGAGGUUUUAGUGUAACCAUUGGAGAAAAUAAAAUUCUGGGUGAAUUAGAGUCGAAUUUCUGGAUUAAAAUUUAAAAUAUAUUUUAAAAAUAGAAAGUAAUGUGAGUUUUUUUUUCUCAAACCAAAUUAUAUAACAAAAAAUAUACUCAAAUUAGUAUAAAAAAGUUCAGAAUUUCCUUUUACUUGAUACCCACGAAAUAAAAUUUUAAACUCAAAAAAGUUGAGGGACCAAACUAAUAUAAAAAAAAUCAAAAUUUGGAUGAGUCAGACAAGACGGUAAUAGGAGGGUUAAUCGUGUGAGAUGGGCAAAGUUAUCCCCAAGUCUACUUCAAGUCCUACUGUUAACUCCGAUUCCUAAUAAAUAAAUAAAUAAAUAAAUAAAUAAAGCUCAUUAUUGAAAACUAAAGGCAUAUACCCUCUUUUCUUCACUUCUUCAACAUCACAUGCUCUUUUUAGCAGCUAUCCCCAAAACACCCCCAUCUUCCUUCGUCAAACUCAAACCCCCAAAUUUCUUCCACCCUACCCUCCCUCGUAAUUUCCCUCUCAUUUUUUCGAUCCCAUCCCUUAAACCGCCCCCACUCUCCUCUAAAAAUCUUUUCUUUCCGUCCGCCGUAAACCUUCCCACCGCCUCCACUCCUAUUCCUUCCAGUUAGGGUUUCCACAUUCAUUUCUUCCUGCUUUUCGUUAAUCGACGUUAUUGGAAGAUUCGAUGUUAGGGUUUUUGUAUUCAAUGUUGAUUUGAGAGAUUGGUGUUUCAUUUUUGUUUUCAUUUUCUGGUUAGGGUUUUUUUGAGGUGUUGUAAUUUGGGUGCCGGUGAUGCCGCGAAGUUCAAGGCAUAAAUCCAGUAAGCACAGUUCUAGGGAUUACUCGGAUUCGGAGAAAGAUUCGGGCUUAAAGGAGAAGGAAAAGAAGAGUAAGGAGGAGAGUAGUGUUAGGUCUUCAAAGGAGCUUGGAUCCGGUGACAAGAGAAAGCUUGACGCUAAGGAUACCAGCAAGGAAAUAUGGAUUUCGGGGAAUGGAGAUUAUAUUGAGGAGUACAGUUCCUCGAAGCGGCGCAAAGAAAAGGCAGAUGAUGGAGUAAACGAUAGGUGGAAUGGUGGUGAAGAUGAUGAUGGUAAAGGAGAGAAGAAGUCUAAGGCUUCAAGUGAAUCGAAGAGUAAGAGACGAGAGGAUAUUGAAGGGGAUGAUACAAAGAGGAGUAAGAGUGAAGGGAAGCAUCGAGAAUCAAGUAGAAAAGAGGAAAGGGAGAGAGAAAGGAAAGGUAAAGAAGGCAAGAGUGAUAGGUUCAUUGAGAAUGAAGAACACCGCUCUGUGAAACAAUCCACCGAAAGAACUGGUAAGAUAACUUACUGUUUGUUGGUUGUUUAGUGACAAUUUAGCAUGUACAUUUCUAAUUAUUUUGGUGCCCUUUUUUGUUGUUAGGUAUGGUAUAUUAAGAUUGAUUGUCAUUUUAUUUUCCCAUUUUUGUUUUUUAGGAGUUAAUACAUACUGCAUUGAAUAGGGACUCUAUCUAUUGAUAUAUAACUUCGAGUUGCCCUUUUUGUUGGACUGUGCUAGAUUUCUAAUUUCCUCUUUUGCAAACUUUUAAACUAUAGAUUUCAGAGGAAAGCUAUUCUUUCGAAUGCAUCCAUGGUUAAGUCUAUAUAUAAUAUAUAUCUACAAACUCUCAGAACCAUGUUAAGUUGAUUGGGGAAGUUUAACUUCAAGCCAAAUAAUUUUAAGUGUUAAGAGUUAUCUAAUUUUGCAACUUUUAUUUGCUCCAUGAGCCAAAGAAGAAAAGUAGAUGUCUGUUUUCAGGAUGAGAGGCUGGGUUGAGGAAUUUAAAGAUUAGGUGACAUAGUUGAGAAGAUAGUUUCUACUGAUCAGGUCUUAUGGUGUUGGGAAGGUGUGACUUUUUCAUUGUUUUAUAGCCUUCUUAACUACUGUUAUGAAGAAACUAAUGUCUGACCUUAAACCUGGUGUAUUACACUUUUUCUGCAUAGACAUGCACCUUGUGUCUGAGUUCCUAGAACAGUGGUGUAUGGACCAGGAUAAGAUUGCUUAUCUUUUCCAUUUCCUUUAUCUUCAAUAUCAAAUUGAAAUUGUCGGUUAGCCUUCUGCAGUGAAUAUUUCUUUUGGCUGGUUUCCUGUUUCUGGGUAUCGGUUUGAAAGGAAUCGAAUUUUGAAAAUUUCUGUGGAGUCUCCAAUAUUUAAUUUUAUAUUAGCUUCAAAGUGUUAUUAUAGAAGUACUUUCCCAUACAUGGUUCCCUUUUUUGUAUAAGAGAACAAUUUAUAUGUAUAUUGAGUGGAGAAUUUACUUGGUUGAGCUUGAAGCUGCCACACUUCUUGUACACUUAGAAGUGCAUUUACAUGUGUUUUUCUAAGUAUAUGAAGUCAAUUUCCCAACUUAGGUAAUCUUGUUUAGCCAAGGUUGGUCAGAGCCCGCAAGGAUCCCUUGUACUUAUAAGUUCCAUGGUCCUGAUUAUAUUUUCCAGUGGAGCCUUGAAUAACUUGAAGGUAAUGAAUGUAUUGCCUUGAUCGUGGUAUUUCAAAUUUCAAUAAAUGGCAUGUUUGGACUUUGAAGGGAGUUUUGGAAGUUGAUAAAAUAUGAUGAGAAGUGCUGACCGUUUUAUAAAUAGUUCUGUAUUUAAAAAUAUUUCUAAUAAAUACUCCAUCUAAAUCCUCAACUGGUAAUGGAAGAAUUCCUUCUUUCAUAAGCUGUCAUGGUUGUGGAUAGUUAUCUGGCUACUGUCAUCUAUCCACUUCUGUUUUGGCUUGGGGAUGAUGUUUCAGUGCGGUGAGUUUACCUUCGUUUGAGGCCUAAUAUAAAAUUUUCAUGCUGCUUUGGCUCAAAUAUAUCAGUGCUAUGUCUAGAUGCGUCAGUCUUUCGGCACUUUCUCUUUGUAUCUGCUUUUCACAGAUUUAAAGUUAUUAUUAGCUUAUAGUAGACUAGAUAAGUUUACUUGUUUGCUUUAUGAAUUCAAAUAUUAAGUUUGUGAUCUUUCAGUUUUCUGUUUUGGAUUGCUUUACAUUUUCAGUGUUAUAUGUCAUUGCUCUGCUUGGUAUAUUAUUACAUGCACUUUCCAGAGGAUCUUGUCUUCUGUUUGCGGAAAAUGAUAAACUGUAUGGUCAUUAUCGAGUCCAGAUUUCCGGAUUUUCAGAGGAGUUUUAGUAAUAUUUGCUGAAAUCAAAUUAUAGCUUUCGAGGUGUUUUCUGUAAGUAGACUGUCAGAUAUUCUUGGUAACAUUUUUUUUCCUUUUCCUUUUUCUGUAUUUCAGAUUUUGAUGUACCAGAUCGGUUGCAAAGUCCUGAAUCAGAGAGCCAGCUUGAGAGACGACUUAGGAAAAAGAGAGAUGCUUCUGGUGAUGUGGAUAAGCAUCUGGAAGAUAAUGGAGACAUUUUGGACAGGCGGUUGUCUGCAAGCAAUGAUACUAGCAAAGAUGUAAGAGCAAGAGAUGAGAAGCAUAAGGAUGAAAGAUACAAAGACAAGUAUCGGGAAGACAUUAACUGUGAAGAUAAGUGCCAAGAUGACCAAGUGGCAAGCGAUCAUGCUAAUAGUAAGUCUAGUGAGAAGCAUUUAAGGGAUGGAAAAGAUGACGGUAAAAUUCGGCAGAAGAAGUCCAAGGUUCAAGAUAGUGACUUUGAGCGUGAUCGUGACCAUGAUAGAGAGCGUGAUCGUGAUAGAGACCGUGAGCGCUAUAGGGAGCGGGAGCGUGAUCGAGAGCGGGAUAUUGGACGCGACCGAGAGCGAGAACGUUAUCGUGAUCUUGAUCGUGACCAUUAUCGGGAACGUGACCGCAAUCGUGAUCAUGACAAUGAUCGUGAUUAUGAUUCUCAAUGGGAUCGAGAUCGAGAACGUGAUCUCCGUUACAGUUAUCGGGACAAGGAUAGAGAUCGUGAGCGUGAUGAGUUACAUGAUGAGCGGAGGAGUGCUAGAAACAAAGAUAGUAAGGGAAGGAAGCGAUCUCCUGAUGAUCGGGAUGACGGUAAUGAUACUAAAUCUAGAGGUGCCAAACUACAGUAUUCUGACAUGGAAAAUAAAUCAGCUUCUGGUAGACUCGAGGUAGAUGCUGAUAGGGGAAGGUGUCAGUCACGCCCAACCAAUUUAGAUGCUGCUAUGGGCAGCAACAGGAGGAGGGCUUCUCCCAGCUCAAGUUCUCAUGGUGGGACUGAUGAGUAUAGGUACUCUUUUGCUUUUAUCACACCCUCUUCAAUAUUUUUUAUUCCAUAUUCUAUGGUUUAAAUGGUAAACUGAGCAGCAAACAAUGUACGGUAUUAAGUCAGUAAUUUCUGUCAGAUAUUCAGAUUAUUGUUUGACAAUUUAUACUGAUUUUAUUUUCUCAUUCUCUGUGGCAUUCUACUAAUUUCUGGUGCUUGGGGGUAUGGCCCCACCACUAUCCCUAGUGCUUUCUUGAGUGUAAUAGACUUAUUUUCUCUUACAGACAUUUGAAGCAAGAAGAUUCGAAUUAUAGAGAUCCAAUGACAGAGCAGCGGUCCAAAGCAGCUUUGUCAAGAGAGGUGACUAGUUUUUCUGAAACCUCUGAGAGGGGUGCUAAGUACAGAUCCAUGGAGAAAUCAAGUAGGGCGGAUGAGGACCAUUCUGGGGAGUUACCAAUUGAGAGGUCCUCAAGUUUAAAAGCUUCCCCAAUGAGUAUGAUGGAAAAAUCUCCUUCAACAAGUCUUGAGCGUAGAUAUACGGGUAGAAGUGUUAGGCGGGGUCUUGACACAGAGGAGACGGGGUGGAGCAGUGCCUCUGCUGGUGGCAGAGAAGAGGAUAAUAGACUUAGUCGAGACUUGCCUCCUGAGAAGCCUCUUUUGGAUGGAUCCUCUCAAGCAGAUUCUGUGUUUUAUAAUAGAGCUGGUCAGGGCAACUCAUCUUUGAUUUCACAACCUCCUGGUUUAAGGGCUGGAAUUGGCAGCCCUUCUUUCAUGGGUUCUCUAGAAGAAGAUAAUAGAUUCAAUAACAGUGGUCGCUACAAGAGGAGUGGUGAUCUGAAUGUUAGAAGAGGGCACGCAAAUGCUUGGAGGGUCGCCCCAAACUGGCCAGCACCUGUUCCAAAUAGUUUCAUCCCUUUCCAACCUGGGCCACCCCAUGGUGCUUUUCAAGCUAUGAUGCCACAGUUUCCUUCUCCAUCUCUGUUUGGUGGUAGACCCUCAAUGGAAAUUAAUCACUCUGGGAUUCCAUAUCAUAUACCUG